Molecule: ribosomal RNA, 500 nt
Filed under: uncultured bacterium
Lineage: Bacteria
Description: partial 16S ribosomal RNA
Rfam family: Bacterial small subunit ribosomal RNA
Source: RNAcentral
AUUGAACGCUGGCGGCAGGCCUAACACAUGCAAGUCGAGCGGUAGAGAGAAGCUUGCUUCUCUUGAGAGCGGCGGACGGGUGAGUAAUGCCUAGGAAUCUGCCUGGUAGUGGGGGAUAACGUUCGGAAACGGACGCUAAUACCGCAUACGUCCUACGGGAGAAAGCAGGGGACCUUCGGGCCUUGCGCUAUCAGAUGAGCCUAGGUCGGAUUAGCUAGUUGGUGAGGUAAUGGCUCACCAAGGCGACGAUCCGUAACUGGUCUGAGAGGAUGAUCAGUCACACUGGAACUGAGAAACGGUCCAGACUCCUACGGGAGGCAGCAGUGGGGAAUAUUGGACAAUGGGCGAAAGCCUGAUCCAGCCAUGCCGCGUGUGUGAAGAAGGUCUUCGGAUUGUAAGGCACUUUAAGUUGGGAGGAAGGGUUGUAGAUUAAUACUCUGCAAUUUUGACGUUACCGACAGAAUAAGCACCGGCUAACUCUGUGCCAGCCGCCGCAGUAA